CCUACGGGGGGCAGCAGUGGGGAAUAUUGGACAAUGGGCGAAAGCCUGAUCCAGCCAUGCCGCGUGUGUGAAGAAGGCCUUCGGGUUGUAAAGCACUUUCAGUGGGGAAGAAAGCCUUGGGGCUAAUACCCUCGAGGAAGGACAUCACCCACAGAAGAAGCACCGGCUAACUCCGUGCCAGCAGCCGCGGUAAUACGGAGGGUGCGAGCGUUAAUCGGAAUUACUGGGCGUAAAGCGCGCGUAGGCGGUCUGAUAAGCCGGUUGUGAAAGCCCCGGGCACAACCUGGGAACGGCAUCCGGAACUGUCAGGCUAGAGUGCAGGAGAGGAAGGUAGAAUUCCCGGUGUAGCGGUGAAAUGCGUAGAGAUCGGGAGGAAUACCAGUGGCGAAGGCGGCCUUCUGGACUGACACUGACGCUGAGGUGCGAAAGCGUGGGUAGCAAACAGGAUUAGAUACCCUAGUAGUC
RNAcentral lists this ribosomal RNA (465 nucleotides) under Vreelandella stevensii. RNAcentral's name for it is "partial 16S ribosomal RNA". It matches the Rfam family "Bacterial small subunit ribosomal RNA", at positions 338 to 795 of the family's 1533-position model. Lineage: Bacteria; Pseudomonadati; Pseudomonadota; Gammaproteobacteria; Oceanospirillales; Halomonadaceae. The record is from RNAcentral.